UACGGGAGGCAGCAGUGGGGAAUAUUGCACAAUGGGCGCAAGCCUGAUGCAGCCAUGCCGCGUGUAUGAAGAAGGCCUUCGGGUUGUAAAGUACUUUCAGUCGUGAGGAGGGUGUUAAGGUUAAUAACCUUAGCAAUUGACGUUAGCGACAGAAGAAGCACCGGCUAACUCCGUGCCAGCAGCCGCGGUAAUACGGAGGGUGCGAGCGUUAAUCGGAAUUACUGGGCGUAAAGGGCACGCAGGCGGUUAAUUAAGUUGGAUGUGAAAUCCCCGGGCUUAACCUGGGAAUGGCAUUCAAGACUGGUUAGCUAGAGUCUUGUAGAGGGGGUAGAAUUCCAUGUGUAGCGGUGAAAUGCGUAGAGAUGUGGAGGAAUACCGGUGGCGAAGGCGGCCCCUGGACAAAGACUGACGCUCAUGUGCGAAAGCGUGGGGAGCGAAAC
RNAcentral lists this ribosomal RNA (440 nucleotides) under uncultured bacterium. Its description in RNAcentral is "bacterial SSU rRNA". It matches the Rfam family "Bacterial small subunit ribosomal RNA", at positions 340 to 774 of the family's 1533-position model. The record is from RNAcentral.